ACGCUCGACACCUACGGAGGCAGCAGUGGGGAAUAUUGCACAAUGGGGGAAACCCUGAUGCAGCGACGCCGCGUGAGUGAAGAAGUAUUUCGGUAUGUAAAGCUCUAUCAGCAGGGAANAAAAUGACGGUACCUGACUAAGAAGCCCCGGCUAACUACGUGCCAGCAGCCGCGGUAAUCUGAGCGGGCUGGCAAGGC
This 197-nucleotide ribosomal RNA is filed under the name uncultured bacterium. RNAcentral describes it as "partial 16S ribosomal RNA". It matches the Rfam family "Bacterial small subunit ribosomal RNA", at positions 328 to 539 of the family's 1533-position model. The record is from RNAcentral.